Molecule: ribosomal RNA, 368 nt
Filed under: uncultured bacterium
Lineage: Bacteria
Description: bacterial SSU rRNA
Rfam family: Bacterial small subunit ribosomal RNA
Source: RNAcentral
ACGGAGGGUGCAAGCGUUAUCCGGAUUUACUGGGUUUAAAGGGUGCGUAGGUGGGCAGGUAAGUCAGUGGUGAAAUCUCCGAGCUUAACUCGGAAACUGCCAUUGAUACUAUUUGUCUUGAAUAUCCUGGAGGUGAGCGGAAUAUGUCAUGUAGCGGUGAAAUGCUUAGAUAUGACAUAGAACACCAAUUGCGAAGGCAGCUCACUACGGGAUUAUUGACACUGAGGCACGAAAGCGUGGGGAUCAAACAGGAUUAGAUACCCUGGUAGUCCACGCCCUAAACGAUGGAUACUCGACAUCAGCGAUACACUGUUGGUGUCUAAGCGAAAGCAUUAAGUAUCCCACCUGGGAAGUACGAUCGCAAGAUU